UGCCGUUAAGGGGCGUUACUUUUAGCAGGGGGCGUAACUUUAAGCUGUCCAAGUUACACAGAACCACGCGAGACGUCAGGACGAGAUGUUGUCAUUCUGUGUUCUCUUCUGCCCGCAUAGAGAUACGGCGGCUAAAGGCGUUAUUAAAGUUGCUCAUCCAAGCGCCCUCAUGUUUGUUCGUACCAAUUUUAAUGGACGGGAAGCCGACUGACGAACAUCCUUUUCCCGAGAAAUGGUUCGGCUACGACACAUGUUAAGAAGUCACGCCAGGGGCUGAAUUAAGGUCGACCGUUUCAGCUGCAUUGAUGUGAAGUGAUGCAGUGGACAACUUGUGAGGGUGAUA
Long non-coding RNA from Paramisgurnus dabryanus, 343 nucleotides. RefSeq lists it as uncharacterized. The record is from RefSeq and is a predicted model, not a curated record. Lineage: Eukaryota; Metazoa; Chordata; Actinopteri; Cypriniformes; Cobitidae.